Molecule: ribosomal RNA, 682 nt
Filed under: uncultured bacterium
Lineage: Bacteria
Description: bacterial SSU rRNA
Rfam family: Bacterial small subunit ribosomal RNA
Source: RNAcentral
CUGGGAUAACACCUGGAAACAGAUGCUAAUACCGGAUAACAACACUAGACGCAUGUCUAGAGUUUGAAAGAUGGUUCUGCUAUCACUCUUGGAUGGACCUGCGGUGCAUUAGCUAGUUGGUAAGGUAACGGCUUACCAAGGCAAUGAUGCAUAGCCGAGUUGAGAGACUGAUCGGCCACAUUGGGACUGAGACACGGCCCAAACUCCUACGGGAGGCAGCAGUAGGGAAUCUUCCACAAUGGACGAAAGUCUGAUGGAGCAACGCCGCGUGAGUGAAGAAGGGUUUCGGCUCGUAAAGCUCUGUUGGUAGUGAAGAAAGAUAGAGGUAGUAACUGGCCUUUAUUUGACGGUAAUUACUUAGAAAGUCACGGCUAACUACGUGCCAGCAGCCGCGGUAAUACGUAGGUGGCAAGCGUUGUCCGGAUUUAUUGGGCGUAAAGCGAGUGCAGGCGGUUCAAUAAGUCUGAUGUGAAAGCCUUCGGCUCAACCGGAGAAUUGCAUCAGAAACUGUUGAACUUGAGUGCAGAAGAGGAGAGUGGAACUCCAUGUGUAGCGGUGGAAUGCGUAGAUAUAUGGAAGAACACCAGUGGCGAAGGCGGCUCUCUGGUCUGCAACUGACGCUGAGGCUCGAAAGCAUGGGUAGCGAACAGGAUUAGAUACCCUGGUAGUCCAUGCCGUAGAC